Molecule: ribosomal RNA, 481 nt
Filed under: uncultured bacterium
Lineage: Bacteria
Description: partial 16S ribosomal RNA
Rfam family: Bacterial small subunit ribosomal RNA
Source: RNAcentral
GACGAACGCUGGCGGCGUGCUUAACACAUGCAAGUCGAGCGGUAAGGCUCCUUCGGGAGUACACGAGCGGCGAACGGGUGAGUAACACGUGAGCAAUCUGCCCUUCACACGGGGAUAACCCUCGGAAACGAGAGCUAAUACCCGAUACGACCACUUCAGGCAUCUGAUGGUGGUGGAAAGUUCCGGCGGUGAAGGAUGAGCGCGCGGCCUAUCAGCUUGUUGGUGGGGUAACGGCCCACCAAGGCAACGACGGGUAGCCGGCCUGAGAGGGUGACCGGCCACACUGGGACUGAGACACGGCCCAGACUCCUACGGGAGGCAGCAGUGGGGAAUAUUGGACAAUGGGCGAAAGCCUGAUCCAGCAACGCCGCGUGAGGGAUGACGGCCUUCGGGUUGUAAACCUCUUUCAGCAGGGACGAAGCGCAAGUGACGGUACCUGCAGGAGAAGCACCGGCCAACUACGUGCCAGCAGCCGCGGUAA